Molecule: ribosomal RNA, 483 nt
Filed under: uncultured bacterium
Lineage: Bacteria
Description: partial 16S ribosomal RNA
Rfam family: Bacterial small subunit ribosomal RNA
Source: RNAcentral
GACGAACGCUGGCGGCGUGCUUAACACAUGCAAGUCGAACGCUGAAGCUCAGCUUUUGUUGGGUGGAUGAGUGGCGAACGGGUGAGUAACACGUGAGUAACCUGCCUCCUUCUUUGGGAUAACGCCCGGAAACGGGUGCUAAUACUGGAUAUUCACUGGUCUUCGCAUGGGGGUUGGUGGAAAGGGUUUUUCUGGUGGGGGAUGGGCUCGCGGCCUAUCAGCUUGUUGGUGGGGUGAUGGCCUACCAAGGCUUUGACGGGUAGCCGGCCUGAGAGGGUGACCGGUCACAUUGGGACUGAGAUACGGCCCAGACUCCGACGGGAGGCAGCAGUGGGGAAGAUUGCACAAUGGGCGCAAGCCUGAUGCAGCGACGCCGCGUGGGGGAUGGAGGCCUUCGGGUUGUGAACCCCUUUCGCUCAUGGUCAAGCCGCAACAAUGGUUGUGGUGAGGGUAGUGGGUAAAGAAGCGCCGGCUAACUACGUG